Molecule: non-coding RNA, 45 nt
Organism: Schistosoma curassoni
Lineage: Eukaryota; Metazoa; Platyhelminthes; Trematoda; Strigeidida; Schistosomatidae
Source: Rfam
AUCCAGCUGAGCAGUCCCACAUAGGACGAAACGUGCGUCUUAAGU